CCUACGGGAGGCAGCAGUGGGGAAUCUUGCGCAAUGGGCGAAAGCCUGACGCAGCCAUGCCGCGUGAAUGAUGAAGGUCUUAGGAUUGUAAAAUUCUUUCACCGGGGACGAUAAUGACGGUACCCGGAGAAGAAGCCCCGGCUAACUUCGUGCCAGCAGCCGCGGUAAUACGAAGGGGGCUAGCGUUGCUCGGAAUUACUGGGCGUAAAGGGAGCGUAGGCGGAUAGUUUAGUCAGAGGUGAAAGCCCAGGGCUCAACCUUGGAAUUGCCUUUGAUACUGGCUAUCUUGAGUUUGGGAGAGGUGAGUGGAACUCCGAGUGUAGAGGUGAAAUUCGUAGAUAUUCGGAAGAACACCAGUGGCGAAGGCGACUCACUGGCCCAAUACUGACGCUGAGGCUCGAAAGCGUGGGGAGCAAACAGGAUUAGAUACCCUGGUAGUCCACGCCGUAAACGAUGAGUGCUAGUUGUCGGCAUGCAUGCAUGUCGGUGACGCAGCUAACGCAUUAAGCACUCCGCCUGGGGAGUACGGUCGCAAGAUUAAAACUUAAAUGAAAUUGACGG
Molecule: ribosomal RNA, 561 nt
Filed under: uncultured bacterium
Lineage: Bacteria
Description: bacterial SSU rRNA
Rfam family: Bacterial small subunit ribosomal RNA
Source: RNAcentral